GGCAGGCCUAACACAUGCAAGUCGAGCGGUAGCGGGCCUGACCACUCUCGAGUGGUUCAGGUGCCGACGAGCGGCGGACGGGUGCGUAACACGUAGGAAUCUGCCCGGUAGUGGGGGAUAGCCCGGAGAAAUUCGGAUUAAUACCGCAUACGCCCUAAGGGGGAAAGCAGGGGAUCUUCGGACCUUGCGCUAUCGGAUGAGCCUGCGUCGGAUUAGCUGGUUGGUGGGGUAAAGGCCUACCAAGGCGACGAUCCGUAGCUGGUCUGAGAGGAUGAUCAGCCACACUGGGACUGAGACACGGCCCAGACUCCUACGGGAGGCAGCAGUGGGGAAUAUUGCACAAUGGGCGAAAGCCUGAUGCAGCCAUGCCGCGUGUGUGAAGAAGGCCCUAGGGUUGUAAAGCACUUUCAGUGGGGAGGAAAGGUCGAAGGUUAAUACCCUUUGGCUGUGACGUUACCCACAGAAGAAGCACCGGCUAACUCCGUGCCAGCAGCCGCGGUAAUACGGAGGGUGCGAGCGUUAAUCGGAAUUACUGGGCGUAAAGCGUGCGUAGGCGGCCAUUUAAGUUGGAUGUGAAAGCCCCGGGCUCAACCUGGGAACUGCAUCCAAAACUGGGUGGCUUGAGUGCGAGAGAGGAGUGUGGAAUUUCCUGUGUAGCGGUGAAAUGCGUAGAUAUAGGAAGGAACACCAGUGGCGAAGGCGACACUCUGGCUUGACACUGACGCUGAGGUACGAAAGCGUGGGGAGCAAACAGGAUUAGAUACCCUGGUAGUCCACGCCGUAAACGAUGUCUACUAGUUGUCGGUGGUCUUGUACUGCUGGUAACGCAGCUAACGCGAUAAGUAGACCGCCUGGGGAGUACGGCCGC
Molecule: ribosomal RNA, 868 nt
Filed under: uncultured bacterium
Lineage: Bacteria
Description: bacterial SSU rRNA
Rfam family: Bacterial small subunit ribosomal RNA
Source: RNAcentral